AGAGCGAACGCUGGCGGCAGGCUUAACACAUGCAAGUCGAGCGGGCGUAGCAAUACGUCAGCGGCAGACGGGUGAGUAACGCGUGGGAACGUACCUUUUGGUUCGGAACAACCCAGGGAAACUUGGGCUAAUACCGGAUAAGCCCUUACGGGGAAAGAUUUAUCGCCGAAAGAUCGGCCCGCGUCUGAUUAGCUAGUUGGUGAGGUAAUGGCUCACCAAGGCGACGAUCAGUAGCUGGUCUGAGAGGAUGAUCAGCCACAUUGGGACUGAGACACGGCCCAAACUCCUACGGGAGGCAGCAGUGGGGAAUAUUGGACAAUGGGCGCAAGCCUGGAUCCAGCCAUGCCGCGUGAGUGAUGAAGGCCCUAGGGUUGUAAAGCUCUUUGUGCGGAAGAUAAUGACGGUACCGCAAGAAUAAGCCCCGGCUAACUUCGUGCCAGCAGCCGC
Molecule: ribosomal RNA, 447 nt
Filed under: uncultured bacterium
Lineage: Bacteria
Description: SSU rRNA
Rfam family: Bacterial small subunit ribosomal RNA
Source: RNAcentral